RNAcentral lists this long non-coding RNA (19262 nucleotides) under Capsicum annuum. RNAcentral describes it as "long non-coding RNA (CANN_LNC009528)". The record is from RNAcentral. Lineage: Eukaryota; Viridiplantae; Streptophyta; Magnoliopsida; Solanales; Solanaceae.
UUUGACCGGACCAUUAUUCGAAGAAAGAAAUAGUAGGAAGGAGGACAACCGAGUAGGAGGGUCGAGUGAAUACUUGUCGAGGUUUCGGUCCGCGACUCUGUCAUUACAUCAAAAAUAAAAGUUACAAGUUAAAAGAUAACUAAAAUUACAAAAUUCCUAUCUAUGCAGCUACUUUUCGACUCUUGACUUGAGUUUCAGCACCCUGAUCUCCGGGUGGGCUCCCGACUUGUAAUUUCAUCACUUUAUUCUCCAGGCGGGCUCCUAACUUGCAAUUUCUUUAACUUGUUGCUUGACUUUCAAUUCCUUCACCCUGUUCUCUAGGCAGGAUCCUGACUUGGUAUUUUUCAAUCUGUUGACUUUCAAUUUCUUCACCCUGUUAUCCAGGCGGGCUCCCGACUUGCUAUUUUUCAAUCUGUUAACUUUCAAUUUCUUCAUCUUGUUGCUUGUUUUUCAACUUGUUGGCCUUGUUGUUUGACUUUCAACUUCUUCACUUUGUUGCUUGACUUUCAACUUAUUCGCCCUGUUCUUCAGGCAGGCUCCUGAAAUCUUAUCAAAACUAAAAAGAAAAUUAUUCCAAACAAAGAUUAUUAUAAUGAGAGAUUCCAUUUACCGGAAAAGUAAAGUUCCAAACAACAGGAGUUAGAUUUGUUGCCCCAGUUUAUCAUAAGAGGACUUUUGUGAAUGUCGAAUCCAAUUAUAAUUAUUUGUAUGUUGCAAUGAUGAAUCAAGACUCUGACCAAGAAAUGCAUCUCUAGAGAGUAAAAUUAAAUGACCAAGACUAGGAAGUGUGUCUCCUAAGAAUUAAAGUGAGGAAUUCCGACUAGAAAGUGUGUAUUCUAGAGCUAAAGGUUCAAAUUAGGAAGUGUGCCACCUGAUAAAUAAAAACUGACAAGGAAGUGCAUCCCCUAGGGGUUAAGUGCAAUGAUUCGACUAGAAAGUACAUCUUCUAGGAAUCAAGGGGACUGACUCGACUAGGAAGGACACCUUUUAGGAAUCAAGGGGACUGACUCAACUAGGAAGCACACUUUCUAGGAAUCAAGGGGAAUGACUCGACCAGGAAGUAUUUCUUCUAGGAAUCAAGGGGACUGACUCGACCAGGAAGUACAUCUUCUAGGAAUCAAGAGGGAUGACUCGACCAGGAAGUACAUCUUCUAGGAAUCAAGGGGAAUGACUCAACCAGGAAGUACAUCUUCUAGGAAUCAGGGGGACUGACUCGACUAGGAAGUUCAUCUUCUAGGAAUCAAGGGGACUGACUCAAUCAGGAAGUAAAUCUUAUGGGAAUCAAGGGUACUGACUCGACGAGGAAUCACAUCUUCUAGGAAUCAAGGGAAGUGACUCGACUAGGAAGUACAUAUUCUAGGAGUCAAGACUUAAUUUAGGAAGUGCAUCACCUAACAAGUAAAAUUCGAAUUACCCAAUCAAGGAAGUGCAUCUCCUUACCAAUGGCGCUUGAAUUGCCGAAACAAAGAAGUGCGUCUACUUACCAAUGUCGCUUGAAUUUUCCAAACAAGGAAGUGCGUCUCCUUAUAAAUGCCACUUGAAUUACCCAAACAGGGAAGUGCGUCUCCCCACAAAUGCCACUUGAAUUACCCAAAGAAAUGCGUCUCCUUACAAAUGUCGUUUGAAUUAACCAAACAAGGAAGUGCGUCUCCUUACAAAUGACGCUUAAAUUAUCCAGACAAGGAAAUGUGUCUCCUAACAAAUGCCACUUGAAUUUCCCAAGGAAAUACGUCUUUUUACAAAUGUCACUUAAUCUACCCAUACAAGCACUACUAAAAAAUGUCAAAAAGCGACGGCCAGCGUCGCUUUUUUGGGCAAAAACGAUGGAAAUUCAUCGUUUUUUCGGUCUUAAAAAGGGGUGUCAUUUUUUGAAAACGAUGGCCUGAGUCGCUUUUACGAAUUUUUUUUAAAUUAUUUUUUUAAAAAGCAACGUUGUGCGUCACUUUUUCUUCUUUAUGUGAAGAACUCAUGAUGAACCAAAAAUGAUGGACAUCGUCGUUUUAUUAAAAAAUAAUUUUUUUUCAAAAAAAUUAACACUGUCUGUCAUAAUUUGAGAAAAAUAAAAUAUAUUUUUUAAAAAGGCGACGUUGGUCAUCGAUUUUUGUUCUUCAUUAUGAAUAAAAAGUGACGUUGGUCGUCCCUUUUUGUUCUUCAUAAUGAAUAAAAAGCAAUGUUGGUCGUGGCAUUUUGUUCUUCAUAAUGAAUAAAAAGCGACGUUGGUCGUCACUUUUUGUUCUUCAUAAUGAAUAAAAAAGCGACGACCGUCGUCGAUUUUUUGUAAAUUUUUUAUGCAGAAAUCUGCAUUUUCUGCAUCCCACCUGUCAAAUAAAAAUGCAAUUCAAUAUAUACAUCCCUCAUGCAACACACAUCAUUACAAUAUUCAUACAACAAACUACAUCAACAAAUCAUUUAACCAAUUCAAAUCAACAACACUUAAACAAAUUUCAAUGCUCUAAUUCACUUCUCAAAUGACUUAACUUAACCAUUUUCAAGUUAUGAAUUCACAUUUCACGUAUCAACACUAAACCAAUUUCAAGUCAUGAAUUCACAUUUGCAAGUGAUUACACUUCAAAAAUUUAAAAACACAAGUUCACCAUGCAAGAACUACAUUAAUCCAUUUUCAAGUCGCUAAUCCACUUUUCAAGUGACUAGUACACAUUUCAAAACACUACACUUAACCAUUUUCAACUCUCUAAUUCAUUUCUCAAAUGACUAAACUUAACCAUUUUCAAGUCAUGAAUUCACAUUUCAAGUAUCAACACUAAACCAAUUUCAAGUCAUGAGUUCACAUUUUCAAGUGAUUACACUUUACAAAUUUCAAAACACAAGUUCACCUUUCAAGAACUACAUUAAACCAUUUUCAAGUCGCUAAUCCACUUUUCAAGUGACUAGUACACAUUUCAAAAUACUACACUUAACCAUUUUCAACUCUCUAAUUCACUUCUCAAAUUACUAAACCUAACCAUUUUCAAAUCAUGAAUUUACAUUUCAAGUAUUAACAUUAAACCAAUUUCAAGUCAUGAAUUCAUCUUUUCAAGUGGUUACACUUUAACAAUUUUAAAACGCAAGUUCACCUUUCAAGAACUACAUUUCAAGUCGCUAAUCCACUUUUCAAGUGACUAGUACACAUUUCAAAAUACUACACUUCUCAAAUGACUAAACUUAACCAUUUUCAAGUCAUGAAUUCACAUUUCAAGUAUCAACACUAAACCAAUUUCAAGUCAUGAAUUCACAUUUUCAAGUGAUUACACUUUACAAAUUUCAAAACAUAAGUUCACUUUUCAAGAACUACAUUAAACCAUUUUCAAGUCGCUGAUCCACUUUUCAAGUGACUAGUACACAUUUCAAAACACUACACUUAACCAUUUUCAACUCUUUAAUUCACUUCUCAAAUGACUAAACUUAACGAUUUUUAAGUCAUGAAUUCACAUUUUCAAUUGAUUACACUUUAAAAAUUUCAAAACACAAGUUCACCUUUCAAGAACUACAUUAUACCAUUUUCAAGUCGCUAAUACACUUUUCAAGUGACUAGUACACAUUUAAAAGCACUACACUUAACCAUUUUCAACUCUCUAAUUCACUUCUCAAGAGACUAAACUUAACCAUUUUAUAGUCGUGAAUUCACAUUUAAAGUUUCAACACUAAACCAAUUUCAAGUCAUGAAUUCACAUUUUCAAGUGAUUACACUUUACAAAUUUGAAAACACAAGUUCACCUUUCAAGAACCACAUUAAACCAUUUUCAAGUCGCUAAUCCACUUUUCAAGUGACUAGUACACAUUUCAUAACACUACACUUAACCAUUUUCAACUCUCUAAUUCACUUCUCAAAUUACUAAACUUAACCAUUUUCAAGUCAUGAAUUCACAUUUCAAAUAUCAACAGUAAACCAAUUUCAAGUCACGAAUUCACAUUUUCAAGUGAUUACACUUUACAAAUUUCAAAACACAAGUUCACCUUUCAAUAACUACAUUAAACCAUUUUCAAGUCGCUAAUCCAAUUUUCAAGUGACUAGUACACAUUUCAAAAUACUACACUUAACCAUUUUUAACUCUCUAAUUCAUUUCUUAAAUGACUUAACUUAACCAUUUUCAAGUCAUGAAUUCACAUUUCAAGUAUAAACACUAAACCAAUUUCAAAUCAUUAAUUCACAUUUUCAAGUGAUUGUUGACACCUAAUUUUUUUCCUCCGUAACUGAGUUUAGUCUUGAGUUUCUUCGAUUUUAAAAUAAAAUUACAACAUUUACUUUACCCGAAUAAAAGAUUUUCAAAUCGUUUAGUCGGCUAAUUUCAUCGUUUAAGUGACGAUUAUAUACUAUCGUAUUCAAUUAUACGAAAAUAUAUAUAUAAUUUUGUCGCUUAAACAUUUAUUCUACGGAAUGCCGGUCUUUUAAUUAAGGAUUAUCUUGAAAAUAAUUUUAAUAAUUAGAAUCUUGAUUCAAAUAAUUUACUCUCAAAAAAUAAUUUAUUCGGAUGAAUAUGUGUUUAAUUUUUAUCGAAUCAAGAAGCUUGGGGUUAAAUAAGCUAUUAAUUCAUUUCAAGAAAUGAUUUAAUUUGGAAAAUCUGUUACAUUCGUCCGCAAUUGAAAUCAAAUUGGCCAUAAUUGCGAUGCAAUUGGCCAAUUGAUCUUCAAUUCAGCCAAAACCUGAAUGAAUGGCCAAAUCCUCAAUUUCAACCCAAUUAGCAAAUCAGUAGCGGCCCAUUUUCUCUUCAAUUAUAUCAACCGGACCGAGCCAUAUAUUCCUGACCCACCAGCCCACCCCCUAUUUUCCAAAUUCCCAAAAUAAUCUAAACCAGCCCAAUGAUAAUUAACUGCCACCCCAAGCCCAACAACAAACGACCGGCCCAGCGCCUAAACCCCUACCCAGCCCAUCUUCUUUUCCUCUUUAACUUCCAUAAGCAACAAAAACUUCAAGUCAACACCAACCAUCGUUAACACCAACCAAAUCUAGAACCCACCUUCAACCCAGAAUUUGGAGAAACUAGAAACCAACUCCAUCCUUCUUCACGCGUUCCAUGCGAUAGCACGAUGAGGAAAGACCUAAAAGCUUCUAGAAAAUAGGUGAGUUGGCUCACCCCAACGGAUAAAUUCCAUGAAUCUCAAAAUUAUUGGUACGAUUUCAUACCUAUGUGUUUGGUUUUGAUUUGUUUUGGGAGGGGAUUUCUACUUUUCCUUUUCCUAUUGGUUGGAACCAAUUCAAAAUUUUCCAAGAAUCCAAAAAUCGGUACAAGUUCGAGUAACAAAUCCCGUUGUCAACCUUAUCAUCAGUUUUGAAUUUUGAAAUUUUUGUAAAAUACCAAGACUGCCCUUACGGGAAGCCCAAAAAUGAACCCUAUCUUUUUGUUUCUCUAUAAAGAGGGGGGCUUGAGUAUUCUAAGGGAGUCUCUUGCUUUUGGGGGGAGGAAGGAAAAAAUUUCUUGAGAGGAAAAUUCUAGGUCACUGUUUAUGGCAUUUUUUUUCUCUUCUUUUCCUUCUGAGGUUGAUAUUACGAGGUUAGUUAUCGAGAGGGGUUUUUCUUUUCUUUUUUUUUUUUGGCUUUUUGGGGAGGGGUUAGAAAUCUUGGUUGAAAUUAGAAGGUUUGAGACAAGAUUUGGAAAGAAACUGAAGAAAAAUUUUUCUUAAGCUAGUUCGAAAGGUUGAUUAGAAGUUGGGUUGGGGAUUCUGAAAUCAAAGAAGUUUAUUUCCUGAAAAAUUUGCUCGUCCAUUUCUUUUUUGGAAGCUAGUCGAUUAAUUAGGAAUUCCCGAGUCGACAACAUUAAUUCCCAGUGGUGACGACUUUACUAAUAGCUUAUCGUCCCGCUUGCUGCUCUGGAAUAGGUAAAGAUCCCUCAUCCUGUUUAAUAUACCGUUCUCUUCUUCCACCUUGUUUCAUUGUAAUGAUGUUUGGUCAUUCGAAUAUAAGGUCUAUUAGGGGGGCUGUAUUGGUUUAAAAGAUGAACAUAGUGUCUAUUAUGAGGGUGUAUGAUCUUUUGAAUGGUGGAGAGUCUGUUGUCUGGUUAUUUUCUUAAAGAAAUCCCUAUUCAUAGUUUCAUCUUGGUUGGUUCUGGUUCACUUGUUUUAUUUUGUUCACAAGACUGAAGCUUAAAAUGUGUAGGGGUUUUGUGGGUAUCCUGACCCCUAUUGAUCAAUUGCAAAAAAUGUGUUGGAAGUACAAGUAGUUUAUUAGCACGUGAGUCGUCUGAUGGUUGUUUAUAUUUUCAAACUCAAGUUGUCCGCUUGAGAACCAGUUUUCAAACCCACUCUAGAUACUUAGGAUAGAGCGAAACCAAAACCCUAUUUUAGGUAUGAGCCUAGGACGACAUAAUACCCGAGUGGGGUAUUGGGCCCAUUGAAAACCUACCCUGCGUCUAUUAACCCCGAGUAAAUUACAGAAGAAUCAUAUUUAUGUGUUGAAGAAAUAUAUGUUUGUUUUAUCCAAUCCAUUAUCCUUUGGGGGUCGGGAGAAUACUUGUUUUACUCACUUUUGUAUAAGGAUGCCUCAAUCGUACACCGAUUGACGAAAGAAUUGAAAUUGAUCGAUUUGGAAGGUUGCAUCUAAGGCACAGUUUACAUACGUCACCAAUAUAAGAAGGCGGAGGUUGAUAGAAGAAGCACUCAGGAAUUAGUAUUUUCUAUCCCCUGCGUGGGAGCUUUUCUUCUUUCAUGCUAUUUCCCUUGUUUCCUAAAGAUUGUACCCCUCUUUUGUUAUCGUUUGUAAGCACUUACGCAUACCUUUUUCGUGUCUAUAUAAGUUGGAUGAUAAUGGAUUGACUUUAUGAAAGCAUAUACUUUCUUCAAAAAUCGUUAGGCCUGAACCCUUGGUUCAAAAAGGGUCACCCCAGUUAGGAUACACAUUAUUAUAAUGUUUUGUGUAAUUGUCUUAUGAGCUUAUGUGUGUUUGUUUGGAUCAAAGGCAAGUUGAUCCGCUAUGCUCCUAUGGAUUAAUUGGAUAUGACUCAAACAACUCUACGUGGUUAUUUCUUGUCAAAUAUUUUGCAUUACUUAUCACAUACAAAAACUAACACAUCUGCUUUUGAGUUGUUUUACUUUACAGAUAAUAGAAACUACUCUGUGUUGAUAUAAGCUGGCAGAACAUCCCUACUUUAUCCACCCUAAAGUGCAUAAAAUCCCAUCCUCUGACCAUCAUUCAAUAGUGAUUGGAAAUGAUGAAGAAAACACGUUGGCCAUCAGGGACAAUGUAAUAGUGGAACAGAGUGAGAUGAUUGCGAAACUCGCAAGAAAAUUAGAAAUGCUUCAGGAGGAAAUAAAUCGUACUCGAGAUUUGGCUCACCUGGCCAUCACUAUUAAUGCUCCCGCUCCAGGAGAACAUGAUACUCCACUCCAAAUCCCUUCCCUCAGUACGCCUAUUCUUGGGGAUCAACCAAAUAACAUAUCAUUCGUCUCUGCCCCUCCACUUGUCCAAAAUACCAAUCAUGAAAAUAACCCAGAUGCUUACCAUCCACAAAAUCCAUCUCUAACCCCACAAAAUCCAUUUCUGAAUCCAUCUCCAAAUCCUCAAAAUACAUUCACAAAUCAACAAAACACAUUCCCAAAUCCGCAAAAUUCACUCCCAAAUCCACAAAAUAUGUCAAACCUACCUUUGAAUCCACCAAAUUCAUUUCCAAAUCUGCAAAAUCCUUCUCAUAUUCUGCCAAACUACUCACAAAGUCCACAGAACCUUCCCAAUUUUCAAAACAUACUCCCCACUUACCAACCAAGUUCUUUUCUUCCACAAAAUCAAGCCUCCCUUCAAAAUCCCCCUCAAGCCAUCAUAUCCCCUGAUAUUUUUGAACCCCUUCCUAACCCUGAGAUGGACCAUUACAAAGAAAAGGAGAAAGAGUAGAGUAUGAACCCCUUCCGAACCCCGAGAUGGACCAUUACGAGGAGAAGGAGAAAGAGUGAAGGACCCAGCAUGAAAGGAAUUUACUAGCUAUGAAGGAAGAGAUCAUGAGGAUCAAAGAGUCUCAUAGAGCCAGGGACCACGGCGGUUUAGGGUAUGACGAUUUAUCCGUUCACCUGGGAGUAGACCUACCAUAUGGGUACAAAGUCCCUAAGUUUGAGAUAUUUGAUGGUACCAAAAAUCCAAUGGCCCACCUGAGAAGGUACUGUGAGCAACUGGUAGGAAUAGGGAAAAACGAGGCAUUAUUGAUGCGCCUAUUAAGUCAAAGUUUGAGUGGCAAAACCUUGGAGUGGUUCAUGUCUCAGGAGCUAAAAAAGUGGACUGGAUGGAAAGCAUUGGCCAAGGGUUUCCUUGACCGGUUCGUAUUCAGCAUUGAAAUAGUCCCUGAUCGAUAUUCACUAUAUCGGAUCAAACAGAGAAAAGUUGAGAGUUUUUGAGACUAUGCUUUUCGUUGGAGAAAAGAAGCCGCCAAAGUGCAACCCCCCAUGUCCGAGGAGGAAAUGGUAUUCGUGUUCUCUCGCGCUCAUGAAGGAGAAUAUUAUACCAGGAUGGUGUCCGCUGUCAGGGCAAUUUUUGUGGAUUUGGCAAAAAUAAGAGAAUAAUUGGAAGAAGGUAUUUGGACAGGGAAAAUUGCCAAAACCCCGACGUCGUCUGCGACUGUCAUGUUCUCGAAGAAGAAAAAUGAAGAUGUAGGUGUGAUUUCUGCUAAUCCUGUUGCGAAAACGAAAAAGAGGUUCAACUUUAGAAAUGUUUUAUCUUCUCCGCCGUCACCCAACCUCCAACACGUGUUCUACGCGCAUCCCCAAUACCUAGCUCCACUCUCAAAUGCCCAACCUCCAUAUUAAUAAAAAUUAUGUAAAAUGUCGGAUUUGAAUUAAUAAAUUAUGAAAAAUGAUAAUUUAAUAAAUGUUGAAAUGACGAUAAAAAUAGUAAGACGUCACCACUCCCAAACAUCCAAUCCUCAUACCAAGCUCCACAACCAAAUACCUUUUCUCAUUACCUAGCUCCACCUCCAAAUUAUCAAUCUCAUUUACAAUCCACUCCUCUAAAUAACCAAACAAAUUUCCAAGCGCCUCCAAAUUAUCACCAAGUACCUCCUCCUCCAAAUCAAAGCCAGUACAACCCCCAACGUCUAAACCACGAAAAGAAACGUCCCCAAAACUUUACCCCACUAGGUGAAAGUCGCACUUAAUUGUUUGAAAGAUUGAAGAAUGCUGGUCAUUUGAAACCAACAUAGCCAAGGCAUGUCAAUACUAACUCUUGAUUUUUCAAUGCAAGUCAACAUUGUACCUAUCAUUCAAGAGUAGCGGGGCACAAUACAGAAGAUUGUGGCUACCUGAAACAUAGGAUCUAUGAUUUAAUCGAUCAGAAGGUCAUUACGCUCCAGGCACCUACACCAAAUGUUAACAGUAAUCCAUUGCCUAACCAUGGGGGGCCUACAGCUAACAUGAUUGAAAUAGAGGGUGAACGGGCAUCCAGCAAGACCAUCACUAAGGUAAAUUCAAAAGGACUCAAAAGAAUAAAAGAGGUGGAGAAGAUAGAGAAAGUUGUGACCACCUUAAGUAAGGAUUUGGAAGGAAUUGUUGAGCCUGUUAUGGUCCCAGAAAAAGCAUUUAAGCAUGGAAUAGAGUACCAACCAAGAAAAGAAAAUGAGAUCGAAGAUAAUUCAAAGGAGAGUCCGUCUAAACCAUCGUCACUCCUGCACCAAUUAUUUCCCUUACAUGAGACGUUAAAUGAUGAUGGUAUUGGGGAUGGGAUAGGAAAUCUGUUCAAGGGAUACAGUGCUGUAUCAGAAGAUUUUUCAAAACAUAGUGGGGUAAAGAAGGUUGCACCAGGAGAGGCUUUGCAAAAUUGGACUUCCACUCCGCUCCUAAUUCAUCACCCGUCGCUGUAGAUGGAAAGACAAUUACUAAUAGUUUUUAAAAUCGGUGAUGAUUCGGAAGAGGCCCUGUGAUCCAUCCUUUUAUGUCUCAAAUUGUCGUUUCGUGUUUUACAACUUUCAAAAAGGCAUGGGCCCACAUUUGUGUGGGUCAUAAGCCAUGGUUUUAUUUUCUUAUUUUCUGAAAGGCCUCCCUUUAUUUAAGAAGUUAUUUUUUUAAAUAUGAUUAUCUAGCAUGGUUUAUAUUGGUAGCAUUAAUUUAAAAACCUGUCAAUGUCAUGUCAUGUCAAGGGUAAGAUGAACACGGCGAAGGAAAUAAUGAUGAACAGAAAAGGUGAUGAGGAGCGGUUAGUAGUAGAUAUAAAGGAAUGUGAAAAUCAAAAGAAGCCCAACCUAGAGGAGCCCUAAUCCUACCUGAGACGUAUGGUCAAGAGUGGACCAAACUGAUCAAUUCUGAUGCGGUAAAGAUAUAUCAUGCUUGAAAGAUGUUAUAGUUUUUGCUUCUUGGCUUAUUUGUAAUCUCCUUUAUAAUAGUAUCAAUUUUAUGAAGUGUAAUCGCCUAGAAUCCUUUCCUUUUAUGUUCGAACUACGUUUGACCUGAAUUCCCAAAAGGGAGGCGGCCUAUGUCGGCUUCGGUCAACCCCUUAGGAAAUUUAUCCUUUCCCUUUAUGUAUGAACUACGUGAUGACCUAAAUUCCUGAGAAAGGGAUACGUAGGUGGCCUAUGUCGGCUUUGGUCAACCCAUUAAUUUCUUUUGUAUAUCCCUAGCGUAGUUUUGAACUACGUUUGACCUGAUUCCUGCUUCAACGGGAUACGUAGGCACCCCAACGGCUCAGUCAUACCCUAGAAAAUGGAAACUGGGGCAGAAUUUUCGAGAAGGAACCUCAAAAAUUCAUAAGAGAAGAUCGAUGCCGAACAAAGAGAAUGAAGAUCAGCAAAGACUUCAGAUCCACUCGAGUUAGUAUCAUCCCAAACAACUCUAAACUGGGGCAAAAAGUUUGAGGGAAGACCUCAAAAUUUCGACCAGACGCUGGAACAUAUUUCAAAUUCCCCAGCACUAGAGGUCAAAGUUGAGAUUGGAGAAUCACCACCUGUGAUAAAUAUUAGGAAGAUUGAAUCACCGUCUUUGAUAAAAACUUCUGGUAGAGAUCCUUGACAAUACUGAAUCCCUAACAAUCCUCUGUCAAACGUCGGACAUUGUCAGAAUCAAGAAAAAGAUGGUCGUUGGACUAGCACAUGACAUGACUAGCAGAGAUUUUCUAAAGCUUUCGAAACUAAUUUCUAAAAUUUAAGACUACUUUCAAAAAUCCUCAUAAAUCUUUUAAUUAGUAUUUACCUAGACAUCAAUUGGGACGGAGAGUCAGGGGUAGAGGUCCCAGCAUGAUGAAGCACCUGAAAGAUGGCGAGGAGCAAAUCAAGGAUUGAAUGAGGUCAAAACGGAGUAAUUUUAUUCAAACUAAUCAUUUUUUUGUGGAUGCAGGGAUCAAUACACAAAAAUAAGAGUCUCUUUCAAAAAAUACCCAGCAAAUUGGGUGCCACACUGGAGCAUUAAUGCCCAAGAACGGUGUUUUAGGGUAGCCCUAAAAAUAGGUUUAAUGCCCAUUUAAUGAGGACCUUUUGAUUUGUCCAUCUCAUUUCUUGAGAUCGUAGGCGACAAACAAAAGCUCUUUGUCUUCUUUACAAAUAUUAUAUUUAGAAGUUUCCUAAAAAUAGUCGCUAGUAAAAGAGACUUUGUGUUUACUAAUCGUCCACCUUGAGUACAGGUACAUGUAGAAAGCAGGACACUGACAAAUAAAGCCACGUAAAAUUAUUUUAUCAUUGCCGCAAAGGCCAUUAGAUAUCAUUGCCGCAAAGGCCAUCGCAUAUCAUUGCCGUAAAGGCCAUGACAUAUUAUUAUCGCAAGGGCAAUCACAUAUCAUUGCCGCAAAGAACAAUACAUAUCAUUGCUGCAAAGACCAUUACAUAUCAUUGCCGCAAAGGUCAUUACAUAUCAUUGCCGCAAAGUCCAUUACAUAUCAUUGCCGUAAAGGCCAUUACAUAUCAUCGCCAUAAAGGCCAUUACAUAUCAUUGCCGCCAGGGCAAUCUCAUAUCAUUGCCACAAUGGCCAUUUCAUAUCAUUACCGCAAAGGCCAUCUCAUACCAUUGCCCCAGAAGGCAUUCAAUAUCUGUUGACGCGCUAGACACAAUGCUGGCAUCGAGGAUAUCAUCAUCAUUCAAUAUCUGUUGACGCGCUAGACACAAUGCUGGCAUCGAGGAUAUCAUCAUUCAAUAUCUGUUGAUGUGCUAGACACAACGUUGGCGUCGAGGAUAUCCUCAUCAUUCAAUAUCUAUUGAUGCGCUAGACAUAACACUGGCAUCGAGGAUAUCACCAGCAUUCAAUAUAUCUGUUGACGUGCUAGACACAACGCUGGCAUCGAGGAUAUCAUCAUCUUUUCAUGAAUCAGUAGCUGAAUGCAUCGAGAGCGCAUGAUUUGAAGGGACGCCUUUAAGUCGCUAUCUAUGGAUGAAAGAUAUAUAAGGUUUCCUAGAAAUUGACAAUUUGAGGGUCAUCUAUAAGUCAUAUUAUUUGAAAUAGGAUAGUGUGCAAGAUCACCUAUGAGUUGAUAGCUUGUAGGUCAUCCGUAAGCCACAACAACAUCCUAACCGAAUAAUGUGCAAGAUUGCCCAAAAAUCGAUAGUUCAAAGGUUAUCCACAAGCCGCAACUAAAUCCUUACCGGAGAAUAUGCAAGAUUAACAAAUUGAUAUGUCCAAAGGUUCUCUAUAAGACGCGUCAUAUCCAAGAUUGAUUAUGUGCAGGAUUACCCAAAGACUAAUAAUUUGAGGGAUUAUCUAUAAGUCAUAUUGUAUCCAAGGUCGGAUGAUGUGCAUCAACACCUGAAAGCUAGCAACUGGAGGGAUAUCGGUAAGCCAUCUCUUAUCCAAAGUCAAAUAAUGUGCAGGAUUACCUAAAAGCUAGCAAUUCAAAGGAUAUUUGUAAGUCGCCUCGUAUCCAACUUCAAAUAAUGCACAAGAUUAUCCAAAGAUUGACAAUUUAAAAAAAAAAAUUAUAAAUCGAUCAUCUGCUAUAACCAAAGAGGUUAUCAUUCCACAUACAAAAAGUGAUAUAGGUAACCAAAAGGGUUGCCACACCAGUAUAAGAUUACACAGCUAUAGGGACCGUUCUACAAAAAAUAUCCUCGGUGUCCAAAAGGGCCACCCCACUCUGAAGGCAUAUUCAACCGACAAAUGUCAUAAUUAUACAACAACCAAGAUGAUUGUUGUAUUUGUUGUUGCCAGUUAUUUCAUUCCAAAACAGGUGCAUGGAAAGAUGACUUUGCUUCUUAGACAACAACUCACGUGGAGAUGUGGUAAAAACUAUACUCCUUUCUCGUGAAUUGUGCUUAUUAUUAAUGAUUUUUGUUUGAGAUAUUGUUGAGAGCAUCCGAGAGGAUGAAAAUCUCAAAUCAAAACCACAGGUGCGGACGACUCCCAAAAAGAACGCAGCACAACGUCGAACUCUGACUCAGCAGCAAAAUGGGACAUAGUCUGGAGAGAGAUGCCAAACUCUCUAGACACGAGCUAAAUGAUGAUCACCACCACCAUCUAACCACGCCUCUAUUAGAAAGAAUGUGGGUAUUUUUGGAUAUUAUGGUCUCAGCUUUACUUUUGAGAUGUUUUCUUAACUCAUAUCGAGAGGAACUUUCUCAUCCUUUCAAAUUCAAGUGACAACAUACUUAGAAUUUUGGAAAUUAUGGCCGGGUAAGUUCUUUUCUAUGAGUGGGAAGGAUCCCACAUUCUUGAUUAAGAGGUUACAAGCCUUUUUCCACAGCUCAAUCAACUUGUCAUUUAUCCUAAGCCAAAGACCGUCUGAAAUAAAGGCUAUCUUUUCUACCGAUUGAGUCGAACUACAAGCAGUCUGAUUCCUUAAGUCUUGGGGAUAUGUAGGCUGGGCUCCGUAUAGAAAACUCAAUUGCGUUCCAACCUCCCCUAAAUCCCUCUACUCCCUCACUUUUUUUAUUUUAUCAUAAAUUCCCAAAAAAUCGAGAUAUCUUGUGAAUUUUUGAAACCUGAUGCCGAGGUCCUGCCAUAACUCCUUAGGAUCGUACAUAAACCAACUUCCUCCAGAUAUGAAUUUGUGGUCGGACAAAAUUAGGGACAUCAACCUCUCUUUGCCCAGGGUCACUUGCAUUCACCCUAUCCAAAGGGAGAGGGCAGUUGUUGACACCUAAUUUUUGCCCACAGUAACUGAGUUUAGUCUCGAGUUUCUUUGAUUUUAAAAAAAAAUUACAACAUUUACUUUACCCGAAUAAAAGAUUUUCAAAUCGUUUAGUUGGCUAAUUUCAUCGUUUAAGUGAUGAUUAUAUACUAUCGUAUUCAAUUAUACGAAAAUAUAUAUAUAAUUUUGUCGCUUAAACAUUUAUUCUACGGAAUGCCGGUAUUUUAAUUAAGGAUUAUCUUGAAAAUAAUUUUACUAAUUAGAAUCUUGAUUCAAAUAAUUUACUCUCAAAAAAUAAUUUAUUCAGAUGAAUAUGUAUUCAAUUUUUAUCGAAUCAAGAAGCUCGGGGUUAAAUAAGCUAUUAAUUCAUUUCAAGAAAUGAUUUAAUUUGGCCAAUCUGUUAGAUUCGGCCGCAAUUGAAAUCAAAUUGGUAAUAAUUGUGAUGCAAUUGGCCAAUUGAUCUUCAAUUCGGCCAAAACCUAAAUGAAUGGCCAAAUCCUCAAUUUCGACCCAAUUAGCAAAUCAGUAGCGGCCCAUUUUCUCUUCAAUUAUAUCAAUCGAACCGAGCCAUAUAUUCCUGACCCACCAGCCCACUCUCUAUUUUCCAAAUUCCCAAAAUAAUCUAAACCAGUCCAAUGAUAUUUAACUGUCACCCCAAGCCCAAUAUCAAACGACCGGCCCAGCGCCUAAACCCCUACUAACCCAUCUUCUUUUCCUCCUUAAAUUCCAUAAGCAACAGCAACUUCAAGUCAACACCAACCAUCAUCAACACCAACCAAAUCCAAAACCCACCUUCAACCCAGAAUUCGGAGAAACCAGUAACCAACUCCAUCCUUCUUCACGCGUUCCACAUGAUAGCACGAUAAGAAAAAACCUAAAAGCUUCUAGAAAAUGGGUGAGUUGGCUUACCCCAACGGCCAAAUUCCUUGAAUCUCAGAAUUAUUGGUACGAUUUCGUACCUAUGUGUUUUUUGGUUUUGAUUGGUCUUGGGAGCGGAUUUAUACGUUUCCUUUUCCUAUUGGUUGGAACCAAUUCGAAAUUUUUCAAGAAUCCAAAAAUCGGUAAAAGUUCGAGUAACAAAUCCUAUUAUCAACCUUAUCAUCAGUUUUGAAUUUUGAAAUUUUGGAAAAAUACCAAGACUGACCUUACGGAAAGCCCAAAAAUGAACCCUAUCUUUUUGUUCCUCUAUAAAGAGGUGGGCUUGAGGGUUCUAAGGGGGUCUGAGGGAGGAAAAAAGUUCUUGCGAGGAAAAUUCUAGGUCACUAUUUAGGUUAUUUUUUUCUCUUCUUUCCCUUCUGAUGUUGAUAUUACGAGGUUAGUUAUCGAGAGGGGUUUUUCUUUUCUUUCUUUAUUUUGGCUUUUCAGGGAGGGGUUAGAAAUCUUGGUUGAAGAUUAGAAGGUUAGAGACAAGAUUUCGAAAGAAACUGAAGGAAAAUUUUUCUUAAGUUAGCUUGAAAGGCUGAUUAUAAGUUGGGUUGGGGAUUCUGAAAUCAAAGAAGUUUAUUUCGUGAAAAAUUUGCUCGUCCAUUUCUUUUUGGGAAGCUAGUCGAUUAAUUGGGAAUUCCCGAGUCGACAACAUCAAUUCCCAGUGGUGAUGACUUUACUGAUAGCUCAUCGUCCCACUUGCUGCUCUGGAACAUGUAAAGAUCCCUCAUCCUAUUUAAUUUACCGUACUAUUUUUCCACCUCGUUUUGCUGUAAUAAUGUUUGGUCGUUCAAAUAUGAGGUCUAUUGGGGAGGGAGGGGCUUUGUUGGUUUAAAAGAUGAACAUAGUGGCUUUUGUCAGGGUGUAUGGUCUUUUAAAUGGUGGAGAGUCUGUUGUCUGGUUAUUUUCUUAAAGAAAUCCCUAUUCAUGGUUUCAUCUUGGUUGGUUCUGGUUCACUUGUUUGAUUUUGUUCACAAGACUGAAGCUUAAAAUGUGUAGGGGCGUACUCAGGGAAGUAUGAGUCUGUUUUCUUGAUUCCCAUAUGUAAUAAUGCAGAAAGUGAUGGCUCUUUGGGGUUGUUUCUGGAUGUGUUUUAAUCAUAUCCUUGUAUAGCAUACCAAGUCCAGAUUGUCAGGUUUUCUAUAUCAUUUCUUUCUAGAAUUUUCCUUUCAUCUAAGUUCUAUCCUUGGCUUUCAAUUUUCUGUUCCCAGGUCGGAUUGACAACAUUCUGUUCGUAGCUCAUAUUUGGUGUGGUUCUGAUGGUCAUUAUUAGUCUAAUGUGAUGCUCAUAAGUUGGGGUGCAAUUAAAUCUAUGUUAGUUUAAUGAAUUGCUUGUAUCAAAUCUGGGUAUCUUUUGCCUUAAGUUGCUCUUUGUUGUUAUGUAUAGCACUAUUAUUAUACUAACGGGAUAUCAGAUACGUUUUCAUGUUUCUUUGAGCGUUGUUUCUAGACGUUUCGCCAAGUAAGGAGUUCUCUGCCUGUUGAAUAAAAAUAAGUAUCAUCUUGAUAAUUGAUUGAAGUGUUAGUUGUUAGGAUGCUAUAGUAUUUGUGUACCCACUGAAUUUCUUCUAGUUAUUCAUGCUUAAAUUAAUUCCAUAUGUGUGGAUCAUAUUUUUGUUCCAUUGUUUUAUAAACUUGAAUGCAGUUAGGCAUAUGUUAUAAACUCGAAUGCAGUUAGGCAUAUGUUAGAGUAAAUAGUUGCUUCUGCCAAAUGUGGUCCCUUUUCGUAAUGUUUUCCCUUCCUCUGGAUCUUAUGACAUUACACCAUUAAAAUAUAUUUUAAUGCUCUGCCAAGCAUUCUAUCUAAUUGGUUUCCUGCGUAUCGAAUGGAAUUACUAUUAUGUUUAUAUGGAUUGAACUAUUGGUUGUCAUUUUGCAGUGUUCGUGUAUCGGUUCAAAUUCUUUCUUAAGUUCUUUUAGUUGAAUUAUUUCCUCAUCCUUAUUUUUACAUGUUCCUUGCAUGAACCCGCUUUGUGAGAAAAAAAAAUGGACCCUAUUCCUGCUGUUGCAUUAUUAAUGGGGGCCAAUGAGACCCAUUCCUCACGAGCCAAUUAUUAAAAAUCUUAAAACAAGGACCUCAUAGUACGCGGAUCUGAGAGGUUAAUGAAGAACAGCAAUAGAUUAAAGGCCUACGUUUGGAGCGGUUAAGAGGCUCAAAAGUCUCAUUCGUUGUUUUAUUUACUUGUUUAUUUAUUUAUUCAUCUAUUUGGGUCUCAAAGCCAAAGUUGUAAAUUUAAUACAGGUGGAGCGAUACUCGAGCCAAAGGCUCGAAAUAUAAACUAGGAUAGGUGGAAGACGAGCUGAAAGCCUAAUAUCUAGACUAGGACAGGGUGACGAAUUUGGGCAUAAAGGCCCAAAUAAUUUAUUUCUUCCUCUAUUUUCCUUUCGUUAUUUUAUUUUCUUAGUGUUCGAAUCUAGUUAACUCCCUAACUAAGUCGCUAAAAAACUGAUUUUGCAAAAACCUUCUCAGUAAUUAACUACUUUUCCAACAAAUCGAUUUUUCAAAGUUAGUCAAAAGAACGUUUUCAAACAGAUUGGAUAACCGCAAGUUAGAGGACGUUUUAGGUGUCUAACACCUUCCUAAAACAUUAAUAGGAACCGCUUACUCAGAAUCUUCAAACUUAAAAUGAUUUUUCUGUUUUGAAUCGUUUGAAGUAACUCCCUAAAAGUUUCUUAAUUCCUUUUCAAAAUUAAGUGGCGACUCUCUUUCACAAAAUGUCAAAAUUUUAUCAAAACAGUGAUUACACUUUUUGAAUUUCAAAACACAAGUUCACCUUUCAAGAACUACAUUAAACCAUUUUCAAGUCACUAAUCCACUUUUCAAGUGACUAGUACACAUUUCAAGGAACUACACUUAACCAUUUUCAACGCUCUAAUUCACAUUUCAAGUGACUAAGUCUAACCAUUUUCAAGUCAUGAAUUCAUAUUUCAAGUGUCAACAGUAAACCAAUUUCAAGUUAUGAAUUCAUAGUUUCAAGUGAUUACACUUUACAAAUUUCAAAACACAAGUUCACCUUUCAAGAACUACACUAAACCAUUUUCAAGUCCCUAAUCCACUUUUCAAGUUACUAGUACAUAUUUCAAAAUGCUACACUUAACUAUUUUCAACACUGCACUGAACCAAUAUUCAAAACUUUAACGCGUCCGUUAAUGUUAAUUAAAACAUAUGCUUGAAUUCCACAUGUAUUUGUGAGUGAUUGAAUAUGGCACUAACACAGCAUGGGAUGGCCAGCUUGUUUGUGUAACAUAUUUGAAAACCCCAACUAACAAAUCUAUAAAAUAAAAUUGAAAGUGACAAUACCAAGUGAUAUAUAUAUAUAUAUAUAUGAUGAAUAAUGAAUAAUUAGAUAAAAAAAAUUAUUUAUUAUAAGAUUUUACGAAUUAACACAAGUUAUAUAGUUCUAGUCAUUACUCAACCAUAGUGUUAAUUAGGUCCAUUAAUGUUUCCUGUGUUUAUCCCUUAUGAUUCAUGAAAAAAAAAGAUUAUAUUCUAGUAUCUAAUGUUUCUAUUAAUCUAUAAUGAACUCCAACUAUGAGAGGGUUAUAACUUAGUGAUCAAAAGCAUAGGCAUAAUUAACAACUCAGUUUACAAACCCCUCCUGUAUUACUUCAACAAUAAAAAGGAAAUUAAAACUCAAAUGAACACAGAUAAACUACGAAAAAUACCAACUUCAAAAUAAAAAGAUCGAACCAAAAUACGAGAGAUAGAGAAGAAGGGGAUGAGAAGUGCAGACUUAAAAUUAGGGAUGAGAAGACUACGGAUUUUUCAUAGUAAUUUUGUUUGCCUCUUCUCUUCUUCAUACGUGUUAUUAUUUAUAACUAAUGCAUCACCCGAGUCCCACACAUAACUUUUUCAUUUUCUAAUUUUUCCCUUCACUGUAUAUUCUUGACUCAAAUCAUUCAUAACACAUAAGUAAACGUCAAUUAAACUAAAUUUGUUCAUCAAGCACAACUGAAAAUAGUGAAAAAUAAUAAAGCAGCAAGUAGAUAUCAAUUAAGGUAAGAGAGCUAACGGAGAAAAGAAUGAGGAAGACCAGAGAGGCGGUGGGACGACUGAUAUAGAUGGCUUUUCGUCAAUGAAAACUCCGGCGUUAUCUCGAUGGCGGCAUCCACUAGUGCUUUGCCGGCUAACAUCGCGGAUGCUGAGAGCAUUUCAUGGUGUCAGCGCUGGCUUUGAGGCUAGCCGAUUGGUCUGUCAAUAUUGGCGACACGACAGGGAGAAGAAGAAGGCAAGGGAGGCGGCGCCAUUGUUGGUCAGUCCACCGGCGGCGGUUCGCUGUCUGUUAUGAGAGUCUUCUAGAGAGAGAGAAUAUAGGGAAGGAAGAGCCUUUGUGCGACGGAAAAAUGGGGGCUUAGGGUUUGGUCAUGUGUUUUAAAAGGAAAGAG